Molecule: ribosomal RNA, 497 nt
Filed under: uncultured bacterium
Lineage: Bacteria
Description: partial 16S ribosomal RNA
Rfam family: Bacterial small subunit ribosomal RNA
Source: RNAcentral
GAUGAACGCUGGCGGCGUGCCUAAUACAUGCAAGUCGAGCGAACAGACGAGGAGCUUGCUCCUCUGACGUUAGCGGCGGACGGGUGAGUAACACGUGGAUAACCUACCUAUAAGACUGGGAUAACUUCGGGAAACCGGAGCUAAUACCGGAUAAUAUAUUGAACCGCAUGGUUCAAUAGUGAAAGACGGUUUUGCUGUCACUUAUAGAUGGAUCCGCGCCGCAUUGGCUAGUUGGUAAGGUAACGGCUUACCAAGGCAAUGAUGCGUAGCCGACCUGAGAGGGUGAUCGGCCACACUGGAACUGAGACACGGUCCAGACUCCUACGGGAGGCAGCAGUAGGGAAUCUUCCGCAAUGGGCGAAAGCCUGACGGAGCAACGCCGCGUGAGUGAUGAAGGUCUUCGGAUCGUAAAACUCUGUUAUUAGGGAAGAACAAAUGUGUAAGUAACUAUGCACGUCUUGACGGUACCUAAUCAGAAAGCCACGGCUAACUACGUG